RNAcentral lists this ribosomal RNA (495 nucleotides) under uncultured bacterium. RNAcentral describes it as "partial 16S ribosomal RNA". It matches the Rfam family "Bacterial small subunit ribosomal RNA", at positions 28 to 507 of the family's 1533-position model. The record is from RNAcentral.
GAUGAACGCUGGCGGCGUGCCUAAUACAUGCAAGUAGAACGCUGAAGGAGGAGCUUGCUCUUCUGGAUGAGUUGCGAACGGGUGAGUAACGCGUAGGUAACCUGCCUGGUAGCGGGGGAUAACUAUUGGAAACGAUAGCUAAUACCGCAUGACAACAGUUAUUGCAUGAUAACUGUUUAAAAGGGGCAACUGCUCCACUACCAGAUGGACCUGCGUUGUAUUAGCUAGUUGGUGAGGUAACGGCUCACCAAGGCGACGAUACAUAGCCGACCUGAGAGGGGGAGCGGCCACACUGGGACUGGGACACGGCCCAGACUCCUAAGGGAGGGAGCAGUAGGGAAUCUUCGGCAAUGGACGGAAGUCUGACCGAGCAACGCCGCGGGAGUGAAGAAGGUGUUCGGAUCGUAAAGCUCUGUUGUAAGAGAAGAACGAGUGUGAGAGUGGAAAGUUCACACUGUGACGGUAUCUUACCAGAAAGGGACGGCUAACUACGUG